GGCCUUGUAGCUCAGCUGGUAGAGCGUGCACUGUACAAGAAGCGUACGCGGAGUCCAUGCGUGUGUUCGAAUCCCACUGAGGCUA
Molecule: transfer RNA, 85 nt
Filed under: Echinostoma caproni
Lineage: Eukaryota; Metazoa; Platyhelminthes; Trematoda; Plagiorchiida; Echinostomatidae
Rfam family: tRNA
About the family: Transfer RNA (tRNA) molecules are approximately 80 nucleotides in length.
Source: Rfam by way of RNAcentral